Molecule: ribosomal RNA, 410 nt
Filed under: Verrucomicrobiota bacterium
Lineage: Bacteria; Pseudomonadati; Verrucomicrobiota
Description: Verrucomicrobia bacterium partial 16S ribosomal RNA
Rfam family: Bacterial small subunit ribosomal RNA
Source: RNAcentral
UGGGGAAUAUUGCACAAUGGGCGGAAGCCUGACGCAGCGACGCCGCGUGCGGGAUGAAGGCCUUCGGGUUGUAAACCGCUUUCAGCAGGGACGAGGCCGCAAGGUGACGGUACCUGCAGAAGAAGCCCCGGCUAACUACGUGCCAGCAGCCGCGGUAAUACGUAGGGGGCAAGCGUUAUCCGGAUUCAUUGGGCGUAAAGCGCGCGUAGGCGGUUUGUUAGGUCAGGAGUUAAAUCUGGGGGCUCAACCCCUAUCCGCUCCUGAUACCGGCAGGCUUGAGUCUGGUAGGGGAAGGCGGAAUUCCAAGUGUAGCGGUGAAAUGCGCAGAUAUUUGGAAGAACACCGGUGGCGAAGGCGGCCUUCUGGGCCACGACUGACGCUGAGGCGCGAAAGCUAGGGGAGCGAACAGG